Molecule: ribosomal RNA, 322 nt
Filed under: uncultured bacterium
Lineage: Bacteria
Description: bacterial SSU rRNA
Rfam family: Bacterial small subunit ribosomal RNA
Source: RNAcentral
AGCUGCAGAAGAAGCACCGGCUAACUCCGUGCCAGCAGCCGCGGUAAUACGGAGGGUGCGAGCGUUAAUCGGAAUUACUGGGCGUAAAGCGCAUGCAGGUGGUUUGUUAAGUCAGAUGUGAAAGCCCCGGGGCUCAACCUCGGAAUUGCAUUUUGAAACUGGCAAACUAGAGUACUGUAGAGGGGGGUAGAAUUUCAGGUGUAGCGGUGAAAAUGCGUAGAGAUCUGAAGGAAUACCGGUGGCGAAGGCGGCCCCCCUGGACAGAUACUGACACUCAGAUGCGAAAGCGUGGGGAGCAAACAGGAUUAGAUACCCCUGGUAG